ACGGAAGGCAGCAGUGGGGAAUAUUGGGCAAUGGGCGAAAGCCUGACCCAGCAACGCCGCGUGAAGGAAGAAGGUCUUCGGAUUGUAAACUUCUUUUAUGAGGGACGAUAAUGACGGUACCUCAUGAAUAAGCCACGGCUAACUACGUGCCAGCAGCCGCGGUAAUACGUAGGUGGCAAGCGUUAUCCGGAUUUACUGGGUGUAAAGGGCGCGUAGGCGGGAAAGCAAGUCAGAUGUGAAAUCCAUGGGCUCAACUCAUGAACUGCAUUUGAAACUGUUUUUCUUGAGCGUCGGAGAGGUAGAUGGAAUUCCUAGUGUAGCGGUGAAAUGCGUAGAUAUUAGGAAGAACACCAGUGGCGAAGGCGAUCUACUGGACGAUAACUGACGCUGAGGCGCGAAAGCGUGGGGAGCAAACAGGAUUAGAUACCCUGGUA
This 434-nucleotide ribosomal RNA is filed under the name uncultured Oscillospiraceae bacterium. Its description in RNAcentral is "partial 16S ribosomal RNA". It matches the Rfam family "Bacterial small subunit ribosomal RNA", at positions 341 to 792 of the family's 1533-position model. Lineage: Bacteria; Bacillati; Bacillota; Clostridia; Eubacteriales; Oscillospiraceae. The record is from RNAcentral.